Ictidomys tridecemlineatus (thirteen-lined ground squirrel) is the source of this 459-nucleotide non-coding RNA. Lineage: Eukaryota; Metazoa; Chordata; Mammalia; Rodentia; Sciuridae. The record is from RefSeq and is a predicted model, not a curated record.
GUACCACUUCAGCAGGGUCUCAGCACCAUCUGAUGGGGAAUCUCUCUUACCCUCCACUCAGGGUUGCCUGGAUCUUGCCUAAGGGACUUAGUGCCCAGUUUUCACCAUCUUGGGAUCAUGUGGAGGAUGGUGAUGAAGACUGAAGAGGGUCUUAAUGCCCUCCAAACCACCCCAUCAGUUCUCUGUCUCUCCCUUGGAGCCCUGUCUCUCUCCUGGCAUCUCCCUUUCAGUGCAAGGCUCCCCACCUCCAACUCGGUGUCACAUCCCCAGGAGGCCUGGGACUCUGAAUGUCCAAUGAGAUUCUGGGAGAUUUUUGGUUUUUAAACCCCCCUCCUGGAACCAGACAUCCUGGGUUCAAAUCCCAGUACUCUGAUCUUGGGCAAGUUAUUUGACCUUCCUGGGCCUGAGUUUCUCCAUCUUAAGCAUGGACAUAAUAAAAUGUCCCACUUAGCCUUGUUA